Molecule: ribosomal RNA, 286 nt
Filed under: uncultured bacterium
Lineage: Bacteria
Description: partial 16S ribosomal RNA
Rfam family: Bacterial small subunit ribosomal RNA
Source: RNAcentral
AUUGAACGCUUGCGGCAGGCCUAACACAUGCAAGUCGGGCGGUAACAGGGAUAGCUUGCUAUCUGCUGACGAGCGGCGGACGGGUGAGUAAUGCAUAGGAAUCUGCCUGGUAGUGGGGGAUAGCCCAGAGAAAUUUGGAUUAAUACCGCAUACGCCCUACGGGGGAAAGCGGGGGAUCUUCGGACCUAGCGCUAUCAGAUGAGCCUAUGUCGGAUUAGCUUGUUGGUGAGGUAACGGCUCACCAAGGCGACGAUCCGUAGCUGGUCUGAGAGGAGAUCAGCCACAC